Molecule: ribosomal RNA, 522 nt
Filed under: uncultured bacterium
Lineage: Bacteria
Description: bacterial SSU rRNA
Rfam family: Bacterial small subunit ribosomal RNA
Source: RNAcentral
AUCCUGGCUCAGGAUGAACGCUGGCGGUGUGCCUUAAGCAUGCAAGUCGAACGAGAAUUUACUCUUCGGAGUAAAGGAAAGUGGCGGACGGGUGAGUAACGCGUAGGAAUCCACCUUUUAGUGGGGAAUAGCCUCGGGAAACCGGGAUUAAUACCGCAUGUGGUCGCAAGACCAAAGACUUCGGUCGCUAAAAGAGGAGCCUGCGUCCUAUCAGGUUGUUGGUGAGAUAAUGGCUCACCAAGCCUAUGACGGGUAGCCGGUGUGAGAGCACGAUCGGCCACAAGGUCACUGAGACACGGGACCUACACCUACGGGUGGCAGCAACUGGGAAUAUUGCGCAAUGGGCGAAAGCCUGACGCAGCGACACCGCGUGUGGGAUGAAGCUCCUCGGAGUGUAAACCACUGUGGCAAGGGAAGAAUUAAUGACUGUACCUUGCUAGAAAGCACCUGCUAACUACGUGCCAGAAGCCUCGGUAAUACGUAUGGGGCAAGCGUUACUCGGAAUUACUGGGCGUAAAGGGU